CAAAAACAUCGCCUCUUGCAACUUAAUAAAUAAGAGGUCCCGCCUGCCCUGUGACUGUAAGUUUAACGGCCGCGGUAUUCUGACCGUGCGAAGGUAGCGCAAUCACUUGUCUUUUAAAUGAAGACCUGUAUGAAUGGCAUAACGAGGGCUUGACUGUCUCCUCUUUCCAGUCAAUGAAAUUGAUCUCUCCGUGCAGAAGCGGGGAUAUAAACAUAAGACGAGAAGACCCUAUGGAGCUUUAGACACCAAGGCAGAUCAUGUUAACACCCCUAAAUAAAGGACGAAACAAAAUGGAACCUGCCCUAUGUCUUUGGUUGGGGCGACCGCGGGGAAUUAAAAAACCCCCACGUGGAACGGGAGCUAUUCUCCUACAGCUAAGAGCCACAGCUCUAGUAAACAGAAAUUCUGACCAACAAGAUCCGGCAAUGCCGAUCAACGGACCGAGUUACCCUAGGGAUAACAGCGCAAUCCCCUUCUAGAGCCCAUAUCGACAAGGGGGUUUACGACCUCGAUGUUGGAUCAGGACAUCCUAAUGGUGCAGCCGCUAUUAAGGGUUCGUUUGUUCAACGAUUAAAGUCCUACGUGAUCUG
RNAcentral lists this ribosomal RNA (590 nucleotides) under Zoarchias major. Its description in RNAcentral is "partial 16S ribosomal RNA". It matches the Rfam family "Bacterial large subunit ribosomal RNA", at positions 1808 to 2607 of the family's 2925-position model. Lineage: Eukaryota; Metazoa; Chordata; Actinopteri; Perciformes; Zoarcidae. The record is from RNAcentral.